GUAGGUGAACCUGCGGAAGGAUCAUUAACAAAUCUUUGCGAGGGUCCGUGCCGUCUCGGCUGCGGGCCCUUGACAUGAACCCGAGGGCUUCCGAGCCCGAGGUAGUCGCCGCAGGCUCUUGGGCCUGGGGCGGCUGGCGGCUGACCCGGUUUGGGGAGGCCAACCACAUAUGCACACCGUUUGUCUCUGUUUGACACUGUCAUUUUAACAUUUAAAAUGUAUAUACAACUUUUAACAAUGGAUCUCUUGG
RNAcentral lists this unclassified non-coding RNA (250 nucleotides) under plant metagenome. RNAcentral's name for it is "partial contains small subunit ribosomal RNA, internal transcribed spacer 1, and 5.8S ribosomal RNA". The record is from RNAcentral.